RNAcentral lists this ribosomal RNA (547 nucleotides) under Aeromonas sp. RW81. RNAcentral describes it as "bacterial SSU rRNA". It matches the Rfam family "Bacterial small subunit ribosomal RNA", at positions 278 to 833 of the family's 1533-position model. The record is from RNAcentral. Lineage: Bacteria; Pseudomonadati; Pseudomonadota; Gammaproteobacteria; Aeromonadales; Aeromonadaceae.
GAUCCCUAGCUGGUCUGAGAGGAUGAUCAGCCACACUGGAACUGACACACGUUCCAGACUCCUACGGGAGGCAGCAGUGGGGAAUAUUGCACAAUGGGGGAAACCCUGAUGCAGCCAUGCCGAGUGUGUAAAGAAGGUCUUCGGGUUGUAAAGCACUUUCAGCGAGGAGGAAAGGUUGGUAGCUAAUAACUGCCAGCUGUGACGUUACUCGCAGAAGAAGCACCGGCUAACUCCGUGCCAGCAGCCGCGGUAUACGGAGGGUGCAGCGUUAAUCGGAAUUACUGGGCGUAAAGCGCACGCAGGCGGUUGGAUAAGUUAGAUGUGAAAGCCCCGGGGUCAACUGGGAUUGCAUUUAAACUGUCCAGCUAGAGUCUUGUAGAGGGUUUAGAAUUCCAGGUGUAGCGGUGAAUUCUUAGAGAUCUGGAGGAAUACCGGUGGCGAAGGCGGCCCCUGGACAAAGACUGACGCUCAGGUGCGAAAGGUGAGGAGCAACAGGAUUAGAUACCUGGUGUCCACCCGUAACGAUGCGAUUGGAGCUGGUCUUGAG